AGAACUGGGUCUUAAGUGGAACAUAUUUGGCGAAUUAUGCUAAACAGAACAUUGGGCAAAAACCGGUUUAAUGGCGUGAAACCCAUCGGCACCAAAAGUUGUCAAAUCAUUCGAUUAGCGAUUGCUUACCAUUGUGAAAACACUCGUAAAUAGAACGUUUCCUAGGAAAUAACCCGGCGAAGAAUUAUGCAAAUCCCCCAGAAAACCCAGACCAAAAGAUGAUAUCUCUUCCUUGCUAGAUUGACCGCAGCAUUUCCGAUGUGACAUUUAGCACAAAAAAGUGCCAGAACCAAAACAGAAUACUGAUCUCGAGAAAAAAACCCCUUGUAACUGGGAAAAAUAACCACCUUUCGAAAGUAUCAACUGACACUCAUGACC
Non-coding RNA from Drosophila melanogaster (fruit fly), 378 nucleotides. The record is from Ensembl. NCBI's taxonomy places the organism in Eukaryota, Metazoa, Arthropoda, Insecta, Diptera, Drosophilidae.